RNAcentral lists this long non-coding RNA (336 nucleotides) under Homo sapiens (human). Its description in RNAcentral is "LNC_000262". Lineage: Eukaryota; Metazoa; Chordata; Mammalia; Primates; Hominidae. The record is from RNAcentral.
CGAAUACUCCCUCCACGCAGAUCUUUUUCUAGAGCAAUUAAUUAUGCAUACGUAUUCACAGUAUCUUCACCAGAAGUAAAUUCCAUCUCAAGAAACCACUUUCUUUGCUCAUCCACAAGAAGCAACUCUUCAUCAUUCAAGUUUGAUCAUGAGAUUGUAGCAGUUCAGCCACAUCUUCAGGCUCCGCUUCUAAUUCGAGUUCUCUUGCUAUUUCCACCACAUCUGCAGUUACUUCCUCCACUGAAGCCUUGAAUGCCUCAAAGUCAUUCCAAGGGUUGGAAUCCACUUCUUUCAAACUCCUGUUAAUGUGGAUAUUUUGACCUCCUCCCAUGAAUC